This 595-nucleotide ribosomal RNA is filed under the name uncultured Bacteroidota bacterium. RNAcentral's name for it is "bacterial SSU rRNA". It matches the Rfam family "Bacterial small subunit ribosomal RNA", at positions 122 to 715 of the family's 1533-position model. Lineage: Bacteria; Pseudomonadati; Bacteroidota. The record is from RNAcentral.
CAACCUGCCCACCACUUGGGGAUAACCUUGCGAAAGUAAGACUAAUACCCAAUGAUAUCUCUAGAAGGCAUCUGAAAGAGAUUAAAGAUUUAUCGGUGAUGGAUGGGGAUGCGUCUGAUUAGCUUGUUGGCGGGGUAACGGCCCACCAAGGCAACGAUCAGUAGGGGUUCUGAGAGGAAGGUCCCCCACAUUGGAACUGAGACACGGUCCAAACUCCUACGGGAGGCAGCAGUGAGGAAUAUUGGUCAAUGGACGAGAGUCUGAACCAGCCAAGUAGCGUGCAGGAAGACGGCCCUAUGGGUUGUAAACUGCUUUUAUAAGGGAAUAAAGUGAGAGUCGUGACUCUUUUUGCAUGUACCUUAUGAAUAAGGACCGGCUAAUUCCGUGCCAGCAGCCGCGGUAAUACGGAAGGUCCGGGCGUUAUCCGGAUUUAUUGGGUUUAAAGGGAGCGUAGGCCGGAGAUUAAGCGUGUUGUGAAAUGUAGAUGCUCAACAUCUGAACUGCAGCGCGAACUGGUUUCCUUGAGUACGCACAAAGUGGGCGGAAUUCGAGGUGUAGCGGUGAAAUGCUUAGAUAUCACGAAGAACUCCNAUUG